CCCCGGUAAACGGCGGCCGUAACUAUAACGGUCCUAAGGUAGCGAAAUUCCUUGUCGGGUAAGUUCCGACCUGCACGAAUGGCGUAAUGAUGGCCAGGCUGUCUCCACCCGAGACUCAGUGAAAUUGAACUCGCUGUGAAGAUGCAGUGUACCCGCGGCAAGACGGAAAGACCCCGUGAACCUUUACUAUAGCUUGACACUGAACAUUGAGCCUUGAUGUGUAGGAUAGGUGGGAGGCUUUGAAGUGUGGACGCCAGUCUGCAUGGAGCCGACCUUGAAAUACCACCCUUUAAUGUUUGAUGUUCUAACGUGGACCCGUAAUCCGGGUUGCGGACAGUGUCUGGUGGGUAGUUUGACUGGGGCGGUCUCCUCCUAAAGAGUAACGGAGGAGCACGAAGGUUGGCUAAUCCUGGUCGGACAUCAGGAGGUUAGUGCAAUGGCAUAAGCCAGCUUGACUGCGAGCGUGACGGCGCGAGCAGGUGCGAAAGCAGGUCAUAGUGAUCCGGUGGUUCUGAAUGGAAGGGCCAUCGCUCAACGGAUAAAAGGUACUCCGGGGAUAACAGGCUGAUACCGCCCAAGAGUUCAUAUCGACGGCGGUGUUUGGCACCUCGAUGUCGGCUCAUCACAUCCUGGGGCUGAAGUAGGUCCCAAGGGUAUGGCUGUUCGCCAUUUAAAGUGGUACGCGAGCUGGGUUUAGAACGUCGUGAGACAGUUCGGUCCCUAUCUGCCGUGGGC
This 735-nucleotide ribosomal RNA is filed under the name Salmonella enterica. RNAcentral's name for it is "partial 23S ribosomal RNA". It matches the Rfam family "Bacterial large subunit ribosomal RNA", at positions 1918 to 2652 of the family's 2925-position model. RNAcentral also lists the same sequence under 1 other name. Lineage: Bacteria; Pseudomonadati; Pseudomonadota; Gammaproteobacteria; Enterobacterales; Enterobacteriaceae. The record is from RNAcentral.